UGCAAUUGACACAGCUACUUCCUUCCAAAU
RNAcentral lists this non-coding RNA (30 nucleotides) under Rattus norvegicus (Norway rat). Lineage: Eukaryota; Metazoa; Chordata; Mammalia; Rodentia; Muridae. The record is from RNAcentral.